GACGGAGGGCGCAAACGUUGUUCGGAAUCACUGGGCGUAAAGGGCGCGUAGGCGGGACUGUAAGUCCGAGGUGAAAGCCCGGGGCUCAACCCCGGGACUGCCUUGGAAACUGCAGUCCUCGAGUGCAGGAGAGGAAGGCGGAAUUCCAGGUGUAGCGGUGGAAUGCGUAGAUAUCUGGAAGAACACCAGUGGCGAAGGCGGCCUUCUGGACUGACACUGACGCUGAGGCGCGAAAGCCAGGGGAGCAAACAGG
This 253-nucleotide ribosomal RNA is filed under the name uncultured bacterium. RNAcentral describes it as "partial 16S ribosomal RNA". It matches the Rfam family "Bacterial small subunit ribosomal RNA", at positions 524 to 776 of the family's 1533-position model. The record is from RNAcentral.